This 451-nucleotide ribosomal RNA is filed under the name uncultured bacterium. Its description in RNAcentral is "partial 16S ribosomal RNA". It matches the Rfam family "Bacterial small subunit ribosomal RNA", at positions 354 to 796 of the family's 1533-position model. The record is from RNAcentral.
GUGGGGAAUAUUGGACAAUGGGGGGAACCCUGAUCCAGCCAUGCCGCGUGUGUGAAGAAGGCCUUUUGGUUGUAAAGCACUUUAAGCGAGGAGGAGGCUACCGAGAUUAAUACUCUUGGAUAGUGGACGUUACUCGCAGAAUAAGCACCGGCUAACUCUGUGCCAGCAGCCGCGGUAAUACAGAGGGUGCAAGCGUUAAUCGGAUUUACUGGGCGUAACGCGCGCGUAGGUGGCCAAUUAAGUCAAAUGUGAAAUCCCCGAGCUUAACUUGGGAAUUGCAUUCGAUACUGGUUGGCUAGAGUAUGGGAGAGGAUGGUAGAAUUCCAGGUGUAGCGGUGAAAUGCGUAGAGAUCUGGAGGAAUACCGAUGGCGAAGGCAGCCAUCUGGCCUAAUACUGACACUGAGGUGCGAAAGCAUGGGGAGCAAACAGGAUUAGAUACCCGAGUAGUCC